UGGGGAAUAUUGCGCAAUGGGCGAAAGCCUGACGCAGCAACGCCGCGUGAGUGAUGAAGGCCUUCGGGUCGUAAAGCUCUGUCGGAGGGAACGAAUGCUCCUGAAGUUAACAGCCUCAGGGGGUGACGGUACCCUCAAAGGAAGCACCGGCUAACUCUGUGCCAGCAGCCGCGGUAAUACAGAGGGUGCAAGCGUUGUUCGGAAUCAUUGGGCGUAAAGGGCGUGUAGGCGGUACGUUAAGUCAUGUGUGAAAUCCCUCGGCUCAACCGGGGAACGACGCAUGAAACUGGCAAGCUAGAGUACCAAAGAGGGUGGUGGAAUUCUUGGUGUAGCGGUGAAAUGCGUAGAUAUCAAGAGGAACACCUGAGGUGAAGACGGGUUGCUGGGCUGACACUGACGCUGAGGCGCGAAAGCCAGGGGAGCAAACGGGAUUAGAUACCCCUGUAGUCCCUGAGCGGGCUGGCAAGGCGCAU
This 473-nucleotide ribosomal RNA is filed under the name uncultured bacterium. RNAcentral describes it as "bacterial SSU rRNA". It matches the Rfam family "Bacterial small subunit ribosomal RNA", at positions 355 to 825 of the family's 1533-position model. The record is from RNAcentral.